CUAGUUCCGAUUUCUUCAUCAUUUUCUAGAUUUAUGGUUAUGUGUUUUGUUUUCUCUUAUCUAAAUUGCAAAUCUGGAUUUCUAGUUCAAUGUUUCUGUGUUUUGUUUUCUGAAAUUUUGCAUUUUCAAUUUGCAGAUUUGAAUCUCUUUUUUACAUUUUCUUUGGUUUCAGAUCUGAUAUUAUAGUUACAUCAUAUUGUUUUGCUUACUUUUAUUGAUUUUCGAUCGCAUCAUUGUUUCUUCACCUUCUCGGAGAGAUUUAUUCUACGAUGAUGUGUGACUUCCUUUUGGGGUAUUUGUCGUUCAUUUCAGAAAUUUUUCAUUACUUCAAUCACGAUCGUAAAAUCUAUCCCAUUUGAAUUUCAGGUUGUUCAACAUUUUAUAGGUUUUUAAUUUUAGUUUCUUCAAUUGCAUCUUUCACCAAUUAUGUAUGUUCAUUUUUUAGGGAUUCUUAAUUUCUUAUAAUUUCUCUCAGAAAAACCAAAGCGCUCUCUUGAUGUCAACCGAAGUAAUGACUCUAAGAGUCCCGUUCAGCCGCCACAAAUCGUCGCUGUAAGAUGUACAUAACCAGACAUGUUCAUGAUUGUGAGUCAUUAGCUAAGAAAGCUGAUGGUUCUCAAGGUAUGGUGGUGCUCCACGAGUUUAUUCUAUGGAUGAUUAUUUUAUGAUUAAGUUUUGGCAAGAAACAGAUAAAGCAACUUAUCUUUUGAGGCAACAUUUCUUCCAUAAAUUGCAUGAUCGAGAAUAGAAGGACAAUACCAUUUGCCUGGAACCUCAUUACAGCUGGUUACGUUGAACAAACUGUACAUGGGGUAGAUAUCAACAUAAUUUGUCUUCUAUUCAUUGGCAAGCUACUUGAACCAGUAUGGGGUCCCAGGGAAUUUCUAAAGUUCAUCUUUAUAGUUAACUUCUGUGUGCAUUUUCAUCACCACUAUUACUUUAUACUACAUUACAAGACAGGAGAUUUAUCUCUUAAUACAGGACCAUUUGAAGUUUGAUUACUUGGUCUCUAUUUGCUUCAACACUAGAAAACAUUGUUGGUCAAGUAUUUAUGAAGCUAAAUUUAAAUAUUGAAAAUUUGAAACAAGCCUUGGAGUAAGUUAUAUAAUAUGUUGUCUUUUAAAGUCAUAUUAGAUGCUAUGCGUGCCAUUUGCACAGUAUUGUUAAUUUAUCUUUAUACUUUUGCAAUGCUCUAGUUAUACACCACUUUCUGGAUUUCAUGGAGUUAUAUCUGGCUUCUUGGUUAGCAUCAAACAAAUUAUACCAGAUCAAGAGAUUCCUUUCCUCAAGAUAAAAAUGAAGGUUUUACUAUGCCAGAGUGCUUUCCAGGAGAUACUUAAGCAAAUGAUGAACAGGCAGUCAUCUGAUGAUGCAUGUGUUACUUCUGGAGAACUUUUGGAAGAGAUCGUUGCCAAAGAAAGCGCAAGUCUCAUGAAGGACUCACGAAGGAAAAGAGAGGACAUAGGCAAAGGCUUAGUUCAUGAUCAAUAUCAACUAAGGGAUGCAAAGACUGGAAAAGUGAUGCAAAGGCUUAGAACUUGAU
This is a non-coding RNA of Cicer arietinum (chickpea), 1543 nucleotides long. Lineage: Eukaryota; Viridiplantae; Streptophyta; Magnoliopsida; Fabales; Fabaceae. The record is from RefSeq and is a predicted model, not a curated record.